This 1440-nucleotide long non-coding RNA is filed under the name Fragaria vesca (wild strawberry). RNAcentral's name for it is "long non-coding RNA (FVES_LNC004428)". Lineage: Eukaryota; Viridiplantae; Streptophyta; Magnoliopsida; Rosales; Rosaceae. The record is from RNAcentral.
CGGAGCCGCCGCCGGCGCCGCCACUGUUUGGAAGAUUUUUAGGGUUUUAAAUUUAGAAUAUUAAGGGGAGUUUGUUGAAGUGAGUUAUGGAAUUUUUGGAUGAGUUUUGGAUAGGUUUAUGAAUUUCCGAAGUGUGGUAUUUUUGGCGGUUAAUUAAUGUAGAAUCCGGCCGUAGGAUUUAAGUCGUAUUUUUGGGGAGGUUGUAAUUACGGCUGCUGAGUAUGAUAUUUAAGUUCGGAUCGUUUCGAUUUAAGAAUAUCGAAGUUAGGCAAUGAUGAGCGUAGUUAUGGCUCUCGGUUAAUUUUGCCUAUUUUGUUUAAAUAUUGGAGUUUUAGUUGGGAAAUUAAUUUUAUAUUUGUGCCAGGGUUCGAGGAAACCUCUCUGGAGCGGUGAUUUGGAUUUCGUCGGGCUUAUGCCUAGAGUUGUGAGUGGACUUUUGUUUUAAAUAAUAUGCAUGCUACGGUUCAUGAAUGAACAAUUAAUGUCAUGGAGCAUUUUGACGUCAUUUUAAUUUUUGACAAUCUUAUUUCUCUUGGAGAGUUACCGAAAAUGGGAUUUUCGGUGGAUAUAAAUAUGUAUUUAUGAGAGAGAGUAUGUAUAUAAAAUGCUAGCUAGCCAUAUGUGUCUGUCCACCUUAAUGGCGUAGCAUAUAGCCGCAUUAUGGUGUGACGUGAGCGUUGGACGUGAGCGUAGUAGCCCUAUAUGAUUGUUUAAUUCAUAUAGGGGGUAUGAGCACAUAUUUAUACACCCGUCUGUCCACCUUAAUGGCGUAGUGUAGCACCGCGUUAUGGCGUGACAUGAGCGUUGGACGCGAGCGUAGUAGCCCUAUAUAGACCCAUGAAUUUAUAUAGGGAGUAUGGACGUGUGUAAAUACAUACAUAUAUUAUAGAGCCUGAGAGGCUCGACAUUUAUGAGAUAAAAGUUUUAUCGCUUGCAGCAUGCAUUCGAUUUUUCUUGGAAAUUGAUUUGGGGAAACAUAAAUAUUUUAUUCAUUAAUUUGUUUUUGUCCACUCACUCUAACGUGUUUCAAAUGUUUUCCCCUGGGCUCUUCGUUUUAAAAAUGCCCAGUUUGCAGGAUUGCAUAGUUGAGGUCGGGCGUACAUGGGGAUGAGACAUAGUCAUCAUAUAGCUUCCGCUUGUUAAUUUAUUAUGUUUUCUUUCUUCCUGUUAGAGUUGCUCUGAACCUAUAAAUGGUUGGAUAUGAGAUUUGUUUAGAUUAGUAAAUAAUUUGGGUGGUGUUGUGAUUUGGGGAGCACGGAGGCUCCAAGAGUUUAAGGUUGGAUUUAAAUUUUCAGAAGUGUUUGCAGGUAUUAUUAGGAAGGGUUGUCCAUUUUCAAGGGAGGUUAUGCCGAUUUUUCGGUAAAAUUUUCCUUGGAGUUGGUCCCCGCACGACUUACUCUGGAUUUCAGGGUGAAAUUUGGGGUGGGUCGUGUCACAUAU